Molecule: unclassified non-coding RNA, 284 nt
Filed under: plant metagenome
Description: partial contains small subunit ribosomal RNA, internal transcribed spacer 1, and 5.8S ribosomal RNA
Rfam family: Eukaryotic small subunit ribosomal RNA (bases 1-53)
Source: RNAcentral
GGAAGUAAAAGUCGAACAAGGUUUCCGUAGGUGAACCUGCGGAAGGAUCAUUAUUGUAUAACCGAGGUGCGAGGGCUGUCGCUGACCCGAAAGGUCGUGCACGCCCGAGUGCCCUCACACACAUCCAUCUCACCCCUAUGUGCACCACCGCGUGGGUCCCCCUUUGGCUUGUUCGGAGGGGGGCUUACGUCUUCACACAAACUUUGUAUGCAGUGUAGAAUGUAUUUUUUGUUUUUGCGAUCACGCAAUCAAUACAACUUUCAACAACGGAUCUCUUGGCUCUC